UCUUGACUAGUAUAUCGGUUAGUACACGCGCUUGUCAUGAACGGAUCAAUGUGUAACGUGUCCGCGCGAAAGCUGGGUUCGACUCCCAGGUCGAGAG
Mycena polygramma is the source of this 97-nucleotide non-coding RNA. The record is from the annotation of a GenBank genome assembly. NCBI's taxonomy places the organism in Eukaryota, Fungi, Basidiomycota, Agaricomycetes, Agaricales, Mycenaceae.